GACGAACGCUGGCGGCGUGCUUAACACAUGCAAGUCGAACGGAAGGGCCCUGCUUUUGUGGGGUGCUCGAGUGGCGAACGGGUGAGUAACACGUGAGUAACCUGCCCUUGACUUUGGGAUAACUUCAGGAAACUGGGGCUAAUACCGGAUAGGAGCUCCUGCUGCAUGGUGGGGGUUGGAAAGUUUCGGCGGUUGGGGAUGGACUCGCGGCUUAUCAGCUUGUUGGUGGGGUAGCGGCUUACCAAGGCUUUGACGGGUAGCCGGCCUGAGAGGGUGACCGGCCACAUUGGGACUGAGAUACGGCCCAGACUCCUACGGGGGGCAGCAGUGGGGAAUAUUGCACAAUGGGCGGAAGCCUGAUGCAGCAACGCCGCGUGCGGGAUGACGGCCUUCGGGUUGUAAACCGCUUUCGCCUGUGACGAAGCGUGAGUGACGGUAAUGGGUAAAGAAGCACCGGCUAACUACGUG
This 468-nucleotide ribosomal RNA is filed under the name uncultured bacterium. RNAcentral's name for it is "partial 16S ribosomal RNA". It matches the Rfam family "Bacterial small subunit ribosomal RNA", at positions 28 to 507 of the family's 1533-position model. The record is from RNAcentral.